GACAGGGCUAGCAAAUGACCUAAAGCUUAGCAGGGCUAGAGAAUGACCUGAAAGAUCCUCAGGGCUGGUUGGCACUAGAGAAAGCUAAAAAACUCGUCAAGGCAUUACUGUACCACUCGAAUCAAAUUUUGCCAGACAAGAUUCACUCGAAUCAACUUUUGCCAGACAUGAUCUUGGACCUGACUGGUCGGCAGAGUAAGUAAGAGGAAAGUAAGGACAUCGUGCGCUUAGCCCGGAUAGAAGCUAACCUGGUUUGACAGACUAAACAAAGGCCGCACAGUUCCACUUGGGACAAUCAGUAUGAUGUACACUCUAGGACUGUGACGCAUUUCACGACUAAACUACUAGGAAAGGUUAAGCGAUGCUAGGAUGAAAGGUCAAUCUAAAUAAGCCACGUGCCCCAGAUUAUGAAGACAACUGUCACCUUUAAAUCUAAAGAAUCGAAGACUAGCGGGGGAACCUCUAGUGUUACACAAUACUCGGCCAAAAUGAGCCAUGAGCUGUCACCAUAAGACAGGGUCAUGUGACAAGUGUUUGACAAGCCGACACGUUGUCCAGCCCGAGGCAAGGAAGACUCGAACACCAAGUAACCCGACUCUUCACCUAAAUAGGGCAGGUCUUCACAUAAAGUUAUCAUUAGUAGGUAUAAUCUAAUAGGCUCUUGUUACGCCUAUAAUCACAGGAUCACCGACC
Molecule: long non-coding RNA, 693 nt
Filed under: Manihot esculenta (cassava)
Lineage: Eukaryota; Viridiplantae; Streptophyta; Magnoliopsida; Malpighiales; Euphorbiaceae
Description: long non-coding RNA (MESC_LNC001516)
Source: RNAcentral